CUUAAUUCUUAUCACAGAAAAAAAUGAAAAAAAUUGCCGUUCCCACCGUCAUCAUCUCCAUACCCCCUACCACCACCACGAUCUCCAUCACCGCCACCGCAACAAGCACAAUCACCUAUGUUACGUCCGCCACUAAUAUUAACAGAUUUAUCACGAGUUCGAUUUCUACUAAUUUUAAACGAAAUUCAGAGAUCGAUUUGAUUUUUGGUUCUCUAUUCGGUAAUUUCAAGUUGAGAUUCAGAUUUCAAGUGGAUUUUGGGUUAAAGAUUCGUAUUCAGUAAAUUGAGUUCGAGAUUUUUUUAUUCUGAAACUGGAUGGAGGUGUUAGUGUUGUUGCAGCGGAACAACAUGUUGGAUGGUAUUGUCGUCUAAAAGUAUAUAUAAAGAUCGAGAAUGGAAAACAGUGGAGAACCAGUUGCUAAUAACAAUUCAAGGAGCGGAAAAGGAAAAUGCUCAAGAAAAAUUUAACCUAUUACAGCAAAAUGCGCAAACAAAAGCACAAAGGUCAAUUAAAUCAUCCAUGCUUUCUUAAAUGUUGGAUUGUCCUUUGGUUGCUAAAGGGUAUUCUGGUACGUUAGAGAUUGUUACUGUUCAACUAGCAGUUCAUACAAUGUAACGUAAGAGAUGAUUGCUACUUCAACGAAGUAUUUCAUAUCAUCUAGUUAGAGAUAGUUGCUAUCUUUGUGAGUAGUUCAUUCUUUGUAGAACUAGGAACUUGAAUUCAUUAUAUUUUGAGAGAUUCAUAGUACAUAAUGUGUUAUUAACGCAGUCAUAGAAUGAUAGAAAGGCAUGUUUAUGUUGUUUAGUUCACGAAAUACUUUUAUUAAGCGGUCAUCUUCAUUGUGAAAAAGAUCUCCGGACUUUAGUUUUUAUGGGAUAAACUUCAGUUGUUGAUCCCAUUUAUGGAUAAACUUCAGUGUUGAUCCCAUUUAU
Molecule: long non-coding RNA, 932 nt
Organism: Papaver somniferum (opium poppy)
Lineage: Eukaryota; Viridiplantae; Streptophyta; Magnoliopsida; Ranunculales; Papaveraceae
Exons: 4
Source: RefSeq, a predicted model, not a curated record